UACGUAGGGAGCAAGCGUUGUCCGGAUUCACUGGGUGUAAAGGGUGCGUAGGCGGCGCGGUAAGUCGGGUGUGAAAUCUCGGAGCUUAACUCCGAAACUGCAUUCGAUACUGCCGUGCUUGAGGACUGGAGAGGAGACUGGAAUUUACGGUGUAGCGGUGAAAUGCGUAGAUAUCGUAAGGAAGACCAGUGGCGAAGGCGGGUCCCUGGACAGUUCCUGACGCUGAGGCACGAAGGUCAGGGGAGCAAACGGG
Molecule: ribosomal RNA, 253 nt
Filed under: uncultured bacterium
Lineage: Bacteria
Description: partial 16S ribosomal RNA
Rfam family: Bacterial small subunit ribosomal RNA
Source: RNAcentral